UACGGAGGGAGCUAGCGUUGUUCGGAAUUACUGGGCAUAAAGCGCACGUAGGCGGCUUUGUAAGUUAGAGGUGAAAGCCCGGGGCUCAACCCCGGAACUGCCUUUAAGACUGCAUCGCUUGAAUCCAGGAGAGGUGAGUGGAAUUCCGAGUGUAGAGGUGAAAUUCGUAGAUAUUCGGAAGAACACCAGUGGCGAAGGCGGCUCACUGGCCUGGUAUUGACGCUGAGGUGCGAAAGCGUGGGGAGCAAACAGG
RNAcentral lists this ribosomal RNA (253 nucleotides) under uncultured bacterium. RNAcentral describes it as "partial 16S ribosomal RNA". It matches the Rfam family "Bacterial small subunit ribosomal RNA", at positions 524 to 776 of the family's 1533-position model. The record is from RNAcentral.